GCCUGGGGGGCUUAGUUGGUUAAGCAUCUGACUUCGGCUCAGGUCAUGAUCUCAUGGUUUGUGGGUUCGAGCCCCACAUUGAGCU
This 85-nucleotide transfer RNA is filed under the name Felis catus (domestic cat). It matches the Rfam family "tRNA". Rfam says of the family: Transfer RNA (tRNA) molecules are approximately 80 nucleotides in length. Their secondary structure includes four short double-helical elements and three loops (D, anti-codon, and T loops). Lineage: Eukaryota; Metazoa; Chordata; Mammalia; Carnivora; Felidae. The record is from Rfam by way of RNAcentral.